Molecule: ribosomal RNA, 497 nt
Filed under: uncultured bacterium
Lineage: Bacteria
Description: partial 16S ribosomal RNA
Rfam family: Bacterial small subunit ribosomal RNA
Source: RNAcentral
GAUGAACGCUGGCGGCGUGCCUAAUACAUGCAAGUCGAGCGAACAGACGAGGAGCUUGCUCCUCUGACGUUAGCGGCGGACGGGUGAGUAACACGUGGAUAACCUACCUAUAAGACUGGGAUAACUUCGGGAAACCGGAGCUAAUACCGGAUAAUAUAUUGAACCGCAUGGUUCAAUAGUGAAAGACGGUUUUGCUGUCACUUAUAGAUGGAUCCGCGCCGCAUUAGCUAGUUGGUAAGGUAACGGCUUACCAAGGCAACGAUGCGUAGCCGACCUGAGAGGGUGAUCGCCCACACUGGAGCUGAGACGCGGUCCAGACUCCUGCGGGAGGCAGCAGUAGGGAAUCUUCCGCAAUGGGCGAAAGCUUGACGGAGCAACGCCACGUGAGUGAUGAAGGUCUUCGGAUCGUAAAACUCUGUUAUUAGGGAAGAACAAAUGUGUAAGUAACUAUGCACGUCUUGACGGUACCUAAUCAGAAAGCCACGGCUAACUACGUG